Molecule: ribosomal RNA, 468 nt
Filed under: uncultured bacterium
Lineage: Bacteria
Description: partial 16S ribosomal RNA
Rfam family: Bacterial small subunit ribosomal RNA
Source: RNAcentral
GACGAACGCUGGCGGCGUGCUUAACACAUGCAAGUCGAACGGAAAGGCCCUGCUUUUGUGGGGUGCUCGAGUGGCGAACGGGUGAGUAACACGUGAGUAACCUGCCCUUGACUUUGGGAUAACUUCAGGAAACUGGGGCUAAUACCGGAUAGGAGCUCCUGCUGCAUGGUGGGGGUUGGAAAGUUUCGGCGGUUGGGGAUGGACUCGCGGCUUAUCAGCUUGUUGGUGGGGUAGUGGCUUACCAAGGCUUUGACGGGUAGCCGGACUGAGAGGGUGACCGGCCACAUGGGGACUGAGAUACGGCCCAGACUCCUACGGGAGGCAGCAGUGGGGAAUAUUGCACAAUGGGCGGAAGCCUGAUGCAGCAACGCCGCGUGCGGGAUGACGGCCUUCGGGUUGUAAACCGCUUUCGCCUGUGACGAAGCGUGAGUGACGGUAAUGGGUAAAGAAGCACCGGCUAACUACGUG